This 518-nucleotide ribosomal RNA is filed under the name Pseudoeurycea gadovii (Gadow's false brook salamander). RNAcentral describes it as "partial 16S ribosomal RNA". It matches the Rfam family "Bacterial large subunit ribosomal RNA", at positions 1817 to 2597 of the family's 2925-position model. Lineage: Eukaryota; Metazoa; Chordata; Amphibia; Caudata; Plethodontidae. The record is from RNAcentral.
CGCCUUUUGAACUAUAAACAUAAAAGGUCCUGCCUGCCCAGUGACACUUGUUUCAACGGCCGCGGUAUCAUGACCGUGCAAAGGUAGCGUAAUCACUUGUCUUUUAAAUAAAGACCGGUAUGAAUGGCAAGACGAAAGCCUAACUGUCUCCUUAAGCUAAUCAAUGAAAUUGAUCUUCCCGUGCAGAAGCGGGAAUAAUAAUAUAAGACGAGAAGACCCUGUGGAGCUUCAAAAUUAAGCUAACAGACCAUAAUGCCUUAGCGUACAGUUUUGGGUUGGGGCGACCAUGAGGUAAAACACAACCCUCAAGACGAAAACUAAGAAGGACACUUCAAAUAAAUAACAAUAUAGUAAUUGACCCAAUAAUUGAUCAACGAACCAAGUUACCCCAGGGAUAACAGCGCAAUCUACUCAAAGAGCCCUUAUCGACGAGCAGGUUUACGACCUCGAUGUUGGAUCAGGACCCCCAAAUAAUGUAACAAUUAUUAAAGGUUCGUUUGUUCAACGAUUAAAGUCCU